RNAcentral lists this long non-coding RNA (2511 nucleotides) under Triticum aestivum (bread wheat). RNAcentral describes it as "long non-coding RNA (TAES_LNC009503)". The record is from RNAcentral. Lineage: Eukaryota; Viridiplantae; Streptophyta; Magnoliopsida; Poales; Poaceae.
CUUUUUAAGGCUUCAAUAGAGCUAAGCAUCAUCAGAAUUCAGUCUUACACUGAAACUACAAAUGGUUUUGCUACGGUUGAGUGUUGCAACUCACAGCUCGAAAUCCUUUCCCUCCUCAUCUAUCCUCCUUAGACCUAUGAAUCUCAAAACAGCCACAACAUUACAGCUCUGCCAGAGCGGCUUCGUUCCAUCAGGUUCAGUAAGCUGCAGUUCAGAUCCAACGCCACUAAGCAGCAGAAAAAAAAAAUACAAAUUCAAUGCUAUCAUGUACUUGAAUUUGUGUUCAUAGAAAGGAUACAUGUGUGAUCAUAUAAAAAAUAUAUUUGUUCAGUAAGACAGAAUGCAUUAGAAGGAAAACAAUCGCACAUUCAGUUACAUCACAACUUGUGAAAUAGAGGAAGGUGAGAGUACUACUUCCACCUUCCUCCAUUCAACCGUUGGAAGCAAAGCUAAGGACAGCUGACAGUAACUUGAUAAUAUCCAUACUAUAGCUAGCGGAUCUUUACAUGAAGCGAUGAGAAAGGGUGCCGCUGAACCAUAAAUGCAGGUUGAUAAAUUCACAAGAGGCUGAACCAUGGUGCUAAUGAUAGGUAAAAGCUCCACAAAAUUAAUUGGUGCUGCAACAUAAUACUUAUUUUUCACAUGAGAUGUUGGAGCUGUGUAAACAGGAAAAAAUGCAAGAGAAUGAGCAAAAAAACAGUGGUACAAAUUAAAGAUAAUCUAGAACUCUUGUUCAAUCAUACGGUCAUAUAAGUGUCGAUGAAUACUGAAAAGGCAAGAGAUACAUCAUCCGCGUAGUAAUUGGAAACACAAAGACACAAAGUUUUACCUAGAAACCUGAAGCACGCCUUUCUAGACAUGGCAAACUCUUGGACGUAGAUCCUCUAAUCUACUUGACGCCCUUGCAGGCAUUAUUGCACUUGUGUAUGUUUAGUCUACCAGCAGAAGCGUUUUUUUACAUUAUUGCACUUCUGUAUGUGAUGUAUAAUACUUUACAUUAGUAGUGAAAAAUUCAGCUGAAAGGGCACACCCCAGCAAUCCUCAUCUUGUGAACGCUGAGAAACUUCGGUGGUAUGAGAAAAAACUGAAGACAACUUCCUUCCGUUAGUUUCAGUAUAUGAAGGCAGCAUUAGUUCAGGGAUUGUCACAUUAGUAGUUAAUAUGAUGGAGUUUGUACAUCGAAAUACAUGUCCACGUAUAACUUAUUUGCAGGUUUGUAUUAACUGAUAUAGCUCUAGAAAACACACUAUUAGUGGGGAGGAGGUGAACAACAUUUACCAAAAGCUUAACAAUCUAAAAUAAAUAUGUGGUUAAGAUUACCAUUAACAUGCAUCUUGCUGCCAUUUCAUGGAUGUUAACAUUACCAAAAAAACCCUGGAAAAAUAGCUGCAGAACAGGGAAGAGCAAAAGACCUGAUGUGAGUUCACCUUUUGUAGUCCAUAUGCACUUACAUAACCAACAGAUAUAGUGACCUGUUGAAACAUUAAUAUUCCUUGUCAAAAGCUCCAAAGCAAAGAAAAUCAACAGUCGAUUGUGAGGUCUAUAUGGAAUCAAAUAACUCCCAUAAACUAAGAAAGGCAGAGUAAAACAUCAGUCUGGGAUUCAAAAAACGAACCCUUGAGUCGUAUCCACACCAUAUGGUACACAAUUCCUCUCACGUAAGGUGAGGCUUGUGCAUAUAUACUCAACUUCAUCAUGGGAACGUGUCUGCUUGUGUACAAAAUAAUAAAGAACCAAUCGAAUCCUACACAAUGAUAAAUGCCUGUUUAUUAUUCUUAUAAAACAUUAUUUUACUUACUGGAUAAUUACACGAGAAAACAUGGAAUAAGUACAGCUAGCUCUGUAAUUGUAAAGGAAAUAAGUUGAGUUCUGUAUGUACUGGAAAAAUUAUACAGAUUUAUCUGUCUUUUUAAUGCGGGUUUUACGGAUAAAAGGACAACACUUGUACAAUCAAUCAAAAGUUAGAUGACUGCAUACACGCCCCAUACUACAGACUGUGCUGUCUAGUUUGCAGUUUGCACAUCAAGAUAGACCUAAUCAUGGCAUGGAACUAACAAAAGCUAGCGGCAGAUAAUACAAAACUGUUACUUCCAAACUUCACCCUCGUUCAUUACAGACUUACAGUCACACACCAAUUUCAGUUCAAGAUGAGCUUCCACAUCGCAGCCUGAUCGAAAAAUAAAUUCUACAGAGGGAAGAAGGGGGCAAAGGGAAUCGUGCGUGCUUACAGGUGAACUGCAACUUGCGGGACUGGGUCUCGACGACGCCCUACCUCAUGGCCACCACGAAGAGGAUCAGAUGCUGGUGAUGGUCCAAUUCAAGGCCAUGUAUCUCUGGGCGUCCCUCUCAGGCAGCCGCCGGUGCAAGAACCCGGUCAACAUCUCGGAGGCCCCCAUGGAAAGAGCCGCGGCAGUCCUCCUCGACGGUUGGGAAAGAGGAUGCCGGGACAUAGCCUCCGCUGCUGCUCCGAGACGGAAUCAUGAUGCGGUGAUGGACACGCGGACAGAACGG